CCGACCUUAGCUCAGUUGGUAGAGCGGAGUACUGUAGUUGGUUUCCCAUGCUGGUAUCCUUAUGUCGCUGGUUCGAAUCCGGCAUGUCGGA
This 91-nucleotide transfer RNA is filed under the name Cicer arietinum (chickpea). It matches the Rfam family "tRNA". Rfam says of the family: Transfer RNA (tRNA) molecules are approximately 80 nucleotides in length. Their secondary structure includes four short double-helical elements and three loops (D, anti-codon, and T loops). Lineage: Eukaryota; Viridiplantae; Streptophyta; Magnoliopsida; Fabales; Fabaceae. The record is from Rfam by way of RNAcentral.